CAAAUUCCUAGCAUAAACCACAUGAAAAUUGUAAGGAAUCUUGAAAUAGGUUUCCAGAAGAUGAUUUUAUUACAUUUAGAUAUGCAUGCGUUUUUCUCUCGCACAAAUCAUGAAUUCCUAAGUUAGAAGCUAAUCAUUGAUGAAAGCCUGUAUUCACAUAUGCAUGCAUGCAUGCAUACUCAUAGGGUUGUCAAAUUAUUGAAAUUUAUUUAAAUAUAAAGCAAACUAGCUACAGGGCUGACGAUUAGUUGAAUUUUUAAUGUUAUUUGAAGAAUCCAUGACAUUUAGUGUAAAAGGGACCUCUUUGAAUGGUUUUGAUGCUUUAACGCAGGGAUGGAUUAUUGAAGAGAAUAUAAAGUGAAGAAAAGAAGAAAAUGAGAGAAUAAAAAUUAGAGCCAAAGGUUUAGGGAUACGAAUAUAUUAAGCUUAUUAUCACAUCUUCAGGAUGAGACUUGUUUGGUAUCACAUAUAUUUUGUUUGGGAGCAUAUAAAUUGCAAUUUUCACAUCUAUAUAAUUGUUGGCUAUGGGCUUGCUUAGAAUAUAUGAUAACUUAAGGUUCGUCUUGUAAGUUGGCUGUGAGGUAGGAUCAUCAACAAGUGUGUUCAUACAAUGAGCCUUUAAUUUGAGAAUGUAAUGAUGGUUAG
This 645-nucleotide unclassified non-coding RNA is filed under the name Hevea brasiliensis (rubber tree). The record is from RNAcentral. Lineage: Eukaryota; Viridiplantae; Streptophyta; Magnoliopsida; Malpighiales; Euphorbiaceae.